Molecule: long non-coding RNA, 1334 nt
Filed under: Theobroma cacao (cacao)
Lineage: Eukaryota; Viridiplantae; Streptophyta; Magnoliopsida; Malvales; Malvaceae
Description: long non-coding RNA (TCAC_LNC003148)
Source: RNAcentral
AGGAUUCUUGUUUUUGGCUUGAGUAGUCUUUGAAAAUGAGUUAGUGACUUAGAGAAAUGUCUUGUGGCAGCAAAGAUUGGCUUGAUUGGAGAAAAAUUGGUAACAUGUAAGCCAAUAAACCUAUGGGUACAUGAAGGACUCAAAGUGGAAAAGGAAAACGGUAAGCUUAACACUAUGUUUUAAAGCCAUCGUUAGUUGAAUAUUGUGAGGAAUUAUGGUUGUUGAAAGGAUCUAUUUGCCUAAGCUAGUUAAAAAUUAUUAAGAUUGUAUGGCAUGUUGUUUGAAAGAAAUGAAAAAGGAAUAUUGUGGAUGGAAGAUUGAGAAACAAAGUAUUGAAAGUUAGAUAGAUAAUGAUGCAUGUAAACUAGGAAAUAAUCGAGUGAAAGUGAGAAUGAUUGUUGUUGCCAUAUAUGUGGAUUAUGUGUGGAAAUAUAAGAUGGAUUUGGUCGAAAAUUAUUUAGAAAGGUUGAAGUAGGCACGUGACAUCAUAAAUAAGUUGCCGGAGAUAUAAAAUAAGGAAUUAUGUGAGCAACUGAUAUAAGUAAUUUCAGUAAAAAUGUAUUAAGAUGUGAGUUAAUUGAAGAUGGUUUCAUGAUAAGGUGAAAAAUAUAAAUUUAAGUAAGGAUUAAUUGAUUGAAGUGCUAUCCGUAUACAUAUGUAAUUAAAUAUAUUGAGUUGGUAUUAUUGCUAGGAAGUGCAAAGGCAAGGUUAGAGUACUGUGGUGGCGUGCCAGAGUAAAUAACGAGCAACCGACCGGUGAAAAUAGUUAGAGACACCUCUGAACAAAUAGCGACUUAAUAUCUCGUUGUUACAAGGUGAGUGAACUUGCAUUUCAAAAUUGCUUUGGAAAAUAUAAUUGUAUUUAGAUGAAACAUUUGAAUGAUUUUAUCCAACUUUUCUUUAAAAAUGUGUGUCGGGGAACAAGCCCUUGAUAAAAUGUUUUGAUGUUGUGAAAAUGUGAAAUGUACGAAAAGAUUAACCCAUGUGCUCCUAUAUUAUGUUGGUAUGUAUAUAUAUGAAUAUAUGUUGUGCAUUGAUGAAUAAUGUUGUGUGAUGAUGAUUGUCACGACCCAAAUUCUGGGCCAUGACCAACUCAUGGGCCCAAUGGACGUAGUCCACUAAGCCCAAGCAAGCCUAUUAAUCUGACGAGUUCAUCAUAAACUACUAAGUCACAUUUCAUAACUUAAAAUCAAAGUAAUAUUAAACAUUGUCACCUCAUACUAGCAUACUUAUUUAAAAUAUACAUACAUUGUCUACAACAUGUAUUCUAAUAAUUUACAUUAAGUUUGUCUAUACAUAUCAAAAGGAGACUCGAUGUCCAGCGGACAAACUCG